UCAUAUUCAUCAUGAAGAAGAACACAAUAUGUUGAAUGUUAUAUGAGAAAUCCCACCAUAUGUAUUUUAAAUUAAAACAACAAAUGCACUAGUAAUAACAAGUUAAAGCUGAAUCAAUGAAAUCAAGCAAGAUACAACACAACUAAUGUUUCUUUAUUCCUUUCAACUCCAUCCGGAGAGGGUCUAUCUCAACUUCUAAUAAUGAGGUUUCUUCUUCCAAAUCCUUAAUCUCUUGCUCCCUCCUAUAGUACACAUCCGCCGCUAUUUCGACGUUGAAAUUCUUCCACUUCGAGGUUUUCUUAGUUAUUUCAGCACGUAUCUUCAUUAUGUCUGUCUCCUCUUGAAGGCGGAUUUUGGCUGUAAACUGGCAAAUAAUUAGAGUUAAACAGAGCUUAGACAAAGAACAAAAAUCAAAAAUCAAAAUUAUACCUUGGUGCUACUGCUAGCAUAGCUAUCUCUUGAGGUCUUGCUCAUGUCUUGCUUAGUUUGUAUGGAUAAGCAACCUCUAACUCUAAGAAACAAAUAGCACGAUGAAAUAUAGUUGUUAUGAUCUUAACAUAAGUUAAAUAGAAAAAGUGUAUGUUAAAUUACAAAGGUGAUAAAAAUUCAUUUUAAAUGAAUUGAUUUUGUACAUUUGACUUUAGUUAAAAGUAAGCCGGCUAUCAACGCAUGUUUGGUUUUAUUUUUAGAGGGGUCAUAAUUGAAUCUGGAGAUGUAAAAUUAGUUUUGAAAUGUUUGCUUGCUUUCAAAGAGAAUUAAUUUUUGCUUCACAUUGAUUCUACUUGAAGUUAGGAUUUGUAGUUUUACCUUUAAUGGGAAACAACUUUCUAGAAUCAAUUCACUCAAAAUUAAUGUUUUUGCCAGCACAAAACCAAACAUACACGAAGAUGGUUUAUAAAUGGAUUAAGAAAUAAAUUUAGGUAUAAAAAUCAUAUUUAAAAUUAAAAGUGAUAAAUCCUAACUUCAAAUUAAAAUCAAUAAGCGACAUCAAGAGAAAAACCAAAGCCAAAACAUAAGAACUCACCGCCUUCUCUCACUAAACCAACCACCGCCUCUCAACUCCUUCUCGAAACACCCUCUAAAACCUUCAUUCCAGAUGUAGAUCCGACAACAGGUGGUGCUCGCGUCGCUUCACGACGACACCACCUCUUCUUCCCUUUUGAAUCCAAACGGUCCGCGUUUCAACCCUCACCGCCGGUGAGAGGUUCAUUGUCUGCAUCACCCUCCAUCGUUGGUCACUCGCGAGGCGAACAAGAACACUCGCCGUGGCAAGCGAUGAUAGACAAAUCUACGGGAAGAAACCUGUUUUCACCCAAAAACCCCAAUUUCAACUACCCAAAUCCCAAAUUUGACAGGAAACAUUACCUAUUGUAAUUCUCUAAUGGCCUCAUCUAUUUAUAAUCACUAACUGAGUUUGUUUCUUACUUAAUCUCUCUCACAUGGUUACUAUCCGCACCUCUAUUUUGGUUAUUCUUCUUGUUGUAACUACAUCGUCUUUCUAUUCACACCUCCCUCUGCUUAAAUCAUUAAAACACUACUCCAUUCUCAAACUACACCUCUUUCCUAUCAAUUUUACUAAUCCACUUCCGUUCGCACUCUACUUUCUUAUUCUUUCUAAAACGCUAUUUUCUUUCUAAACAUUAUUUUCUCUUACGCUUUAACUGACUAACCAACCUAUACUUUCUCUUUACAUAUUCUCCAAUAAAUACAAAUAAUUCAAUUAAUAUUAUCUAACAACAAAUACUAAUAACAACAUUAAUACUAAUAUUAUAUAAUAAUAAUAAUAAUAUUAAUAAACUAAUAUUAAAAAUUGGGGUGUUACACAACCAAGAAAGUAUGCAAAUUACAGCGAUCAAUCUAUGGAUUGAAGCAAGCUUCCAGAAGUUGGAAUCUUCGAUUUGAUGAAACAGUACAACAGUAUGGAUUCAUUAAAAAUGAAGAUGAGCCUUGUGUUUACAAGAAGGUUAGUGGGAGCAUAGUCUUAUUUCUAGUUUUAUAUGUGGAUGACAUAUUGUUAAUGGGAAAUGACAUCCCUACAUUACAAGAAAUCAAAACUUGGUUAGGGAAAUGCUUUUCUAUAAAAGACUUAGGUGAAGCCUCCUAUAUAUUAGGAAUCAAAAUCUAUAGAGAUAGAUCACAAAGAUUGAUUGGCUUAAGUCAAGGUACAUAUAUAGACAAAGUCCUGAGACGUUUCAAUAUGCAUGAUUCCAAGAAAGGAUUCAUGAGGAUUUUAAAUCGCAAUCUGGAUAUGUGUUUUGCUUAAAUGGCGGUGUUGUGAGCUGGAAGAGUUCAAAGCAAGAAACAGUCGUUGAUUCUACAACAGAAGCCGAGCAUAUUGCUGCAUCUAAUGCCGCAAAGGAAGCUGUUUGGAUUAAGAAAUUCAUUUCUGAUCUUGGAAUAGUUGCAAGUAUUGUGGAUCCCAUUAAAUUACUAUGUGAUAACAAUGGAGCAAUCGCACAAGCCAAAGAACCUAGAUGUCACCAGAAAUUCAAACACAUACAAAGGCGUUAUCAUCUUAUUCGAGAGAUUAUCGAAAGAGGAGAUGUUAAAAUAUGCAAAGUACCAAUGUAACACUCUCAUUUUAUUUAAUUAAUUAAUAAUUAUUAUUGGGUGUUUAGAAUAUAUUUUAUAUGAUUAUGUGAUGUUAUGUGAUUUAUAUGAUUAAUGGUGUGGUGUGUUGUAUUAAAUGACUGUUAUUAGUAUUUAAUAUAAUAAAUUGAGUUAAUAUGAUUAUUUUGAUGAUUAGGGUUUAUUUAUGAAUUAAUUAGAAUUUAUGGGUAGUUAAAUGAAAUAUAGGGAAGUUACAUUUUGGGAGUUAAGAAAAGAGAAUAUCAGAAAAAUCAGUUUUACGUGAAAACAUCAACUUUUGGGAGAAGAGGGAGAGAAGAGCAAGUAGAGCCAAGAAUCGAUUUUCUGUGCAUUUCUUUCUGCAAAUUAAGGUAAGGGUGAGGUUUACUUUCAAUAGUGUAGAUUGAAAUUCUGAAUUGUUGCUAACAAGAGGGUUUGGGUGAAUUGGGGGAAAAAUGGGUUUUGAUUAUGAAAUUGAAUAGAAAAUGUAUAGUAAUCAUAGGUUUUGUAAUGGAAUGGUGUUCUAGUCGAUUUUAGGAAUGGAUAAUAAUGUUGUAAACAGUUUUGGGGUUUGAAUUGGGAAAAAUUGGGAUUUUUGGAGAAAAUUGCAGAAUUUCACGAGUCUGAACUGACAUGAUCCGCCUGGCGAAGCAUUUUCGCCUGGCGAAAUUUCGCCAUUUGCUCGCCCUGGCCAACUGUCUGGCGAGCUGCCUUGUAGAAUUCCCGAGAGUCCCCAGAUUUUAUUCGCCAUGACGAGUAGGUAGUUCGCCUGGCGAGAAGCCAACAUUUUGAUGAAUUCGCCUGGCGAGAGCAAUCUUCGCCUGGCGAAAUUACCCAGAUUUUCUGAGUUGUUUCUUCUGUUGAUUUAUGUAAUAUUGGGUGACUGGAUGUAUGAGCAUGAUUAUAAUUAAUUGUGCAUUUCCUGUAAUUGUUGGAUUGUUGUUGAUGGUUUGUUGUUGAUUGUGAUGUAUGUCUAUAUUUAAUGAAAUCAUACAUAAUGUUGAGUUGUGGAGUCGUAAGUCACAUACAUAUAUGUGCAUUGUUGAGUUGUAUGUAGAUAUACACAAGCGGAGUCAGUUGCAUAAUCAUAAAAGCGGUGAGGGCUUAUGCCCUGGAACGCCUUGUCGUUCAAAGCGGUGGAACACAUUGUUGUUCAAAGCGGUGUUUAAUGGUGAGGACUCAUGUCCUGAAAAGGAAUGCUUUAACCAUUCUAUUAGCGGUGAGAGCUUCGGCUCUGAUAUGGUACCAUAUGCAUUUUAGAGGAGUCUUAGCGGUGUUGUUGUCGGGUUGCAUGAGUCUUUGGUGCAUUGGUUUUAAUUACCAUAUUUGUUGAUGUUGUUGAAUUAUGAAUUAUAUAUUUUAUGCUAUAUAUUUAUUAUGAUGCUAGGGUGUUAGAUUCAAUUGAUGAAUUUACUAUCUAUUAUUAUUGUUGUGAAUCUCACCCCUUCUGCUUGAAAAUGUUGCCCUUCCUAUGGGUAACUUGCAGGUGAUUCUGAGUAGUUGGUGGUGGCUCAAGUGUCGUGUCUAGGGCUCUGAUACGUACGGGAUGAGAUUUCUUGUUAUUAUUUUCAUUCCUAUGUAUCAAUUUUUGGAACAUAAUGAUGUAGCCCUUGCAUGGAUUAUGUAUUUAUUUUUGUGAGGUUUUUAUGCCAAGAUUAUUUUAUGGAGAACUUAAUAGUUGUUAAUGUUGUUUUUGAUACAAAUAUUCCGCUGCAAAUUAAUGAUGUUUUGAAGGAUGUUUACUUAAAUAGUUUUAUAUUCUAUUUAAGGAAUUUUGAAAAUGUAGUGUGACAUGCCCGUUGAUGAUGAAUACUCUGAUGUUUAAUUAUUAUUAAUUAUAUUUGGGAAAUCGGAGUGUUACAACCAACAUUAGACAAUAUUGCUGAUCUACUUACUAAAGCUCUUGCCCAGCAGAAACAUGAUGGUCAUACUAGAUCUAUGGGUAUUAGGUUUAUGCCUAAUUGGCUCUAGUGCUAGUGGGAGAUUGUUGGUGUAAGAUCUAGAGGCCAAUAUUUUAUGUUAAACUUAUCUUAUGUAUUAUGACUUUAAUUAUUGAAUAAUAUAUGACACUCUUUAUUAUAUUUAUAUAAUUUUAAUAAAGUCCUUAGAAUAGAUAGUUCGUGUAAUAAUAUAUAGGCUUAAUUGCAUUUUUGGACCCCUAUCUUUCCAAAAGUUGCGGUUAUGGACCCCUAACUAAUUUAACUACAAAACAGCCCCCUAUGUUUUGAUUCUUUGGCAGUUUUGGACCCCCAGUCCAUUGUUGACUCGGUCAACGCUGAUGUGGCAUCCUAAGUGAGGUGCCACGUGUCAAUUUUUAAUUUUUUUUUUGUCUUGGGGGUCCAAAACUGCCAAAGAAUCAAAACAUAGGGGGUUGUUUUGUAUUUAAAUUAGUUAGGGGUCUAUAACCGCAACUUUUGCAAAGAUAGGGGUCCAAAAGUGCAAUUAAGCCUAAUAUAUACUACAACAUUUUUGAGUUUAGACCACACUUAACUUGACCACAGCUAAAAAAGCAUGGCUUAAAACAUGAAUACGCCAGACUUUUGAAGUGUGGCUUAAAAAUUGUAUAUACAAUACACUUUAUGAUUUCUAUCAAAACAACGUGGUCUAUUCAAUUCUAAUAAACCGUGCCAUGUAAUACUUUAGACCACAACUUUUUCAAAUAUUAAAACCGUACCAUACUUUGGUAUCCACAAUUGAGCGGGAAUGAAAAUAAAUGAGAGGUACUUUUUCAAUUUUGAGAUCUGAAUCAUUUUAAAAAAUAAAAUAAAACAUUUUUAAAAAAUAAAAUAAAACAUUGUUUUAACAAUAAAGUAUAUCAUAUUCUUUCACAAACCCUCUCUCUAUUCACAAAAAAAAAAAAAAAAAAAAAAAAACUCUCUCUGAACCCUUUCUCUCGCUCUCUCAAACCCAUUCCUCCCAACCCAUCGAACUAACCUCUCGGUCGCGAACCUCUCCGACAACAGUCGACAUCGGCGUCUCUUACUUUUACCAAUCCUUCCUGAUUGCUUUGAACUUCCUUAACAACAACAAAAUCACACAUGCAGAUGAAGAAGGAAACUGUUUCUUUCUGUGUUGAAUUUCUAGAGGUAGGUUUUCUCUCCCUCUCUCUCUAUAUUUGAUUCUUAAUUUGGGGAAAACAAAAAUUAGGGUUGUUCAGUUUUUGUUUUGAAUCUGAUUUUAAGGAAUAAGGUUCAGAAUGAGUUUUAGAUUGUGUUUAUUUUCUCUGUUUAUGUAUGUGUUAGGCUCAAAAUUGAGAUGCUUGUUGCAAUAUGGAUAUUGUUCUCCUAAAGUGCUUCGAAUGCCAACUAACUUUGUUUAAGACAUAUAUAUAAGUAAUGUAACAUUUAGUGAGUGUCCAUAACAUGUCCCACCAUAACAUCAAAUAAGUCCCCUAAGCUUUAACUUCUACAUACUUUAGAAUCCACUCAUGUAAUUAACUCCUAAACAUAUAUGAUAGAAACUGCUCAAAAAUAAAUUUAGGAUCCGUGUGUUUUGGAUUUUUUUUGGAAAGAAAUCCUCUUUGUUUUUAUAAUUCAGUGUUUGUUUUAAAUAUUAAGAAAAUCCAUGUUAAAAUAAAUCAUUUUUAAUCUAUGAAACACGGAUACAUCUGCAUGUCGCGGUGUUCGACACGUGUUGGAUAACUUUAACAAGUGUCCUAAAUAUAUUUUUUCCUUGCUUUGAGACUCCUUGACCCAUGUCUGACACCUAUACAACACUCAUACGAGGGGUGUCAGACAACUUAGACAAAUGUAUGUUGGAAGAAAAAAAGAAAAGAGGUGCGACUAUUACAUUGAAUACAUUCCAACAUUUAUGUAUUGUAACAUGAAUCUUUACUUUUUUGUUCUCUUGUUUUUUCAUAUGCUGGAACUAUCUAGAGUUUAUACUUGUUGUUCCAUUCUUUUUGAACAUGGUAGGAUGAGCCACAUGCAUUGUCAACAUUGAGUCCAAAGUGCUCUUGUUUGAGGGGUGUGUUUUCUAAAGCAAAGCUAUAAUCAUUUCCUCCUCUCUGUCCUAUCUUUGAUUCAUUUUCAUGUCGUUUUUCAUCUUGAAGUACACCUUUUGUAUUCCUUUUUUUUCUUCCAAUAGACAUUGUCUAGAAUUUGAAUUUUCUGUUUUCAUAAGAGUUUUAAAUCUUUAAAGAAUGAUAUUUAGUAAACAAACGGAAAUUAGCUUAAUCUUUUUCUCAAAAAUUUCAAGAAAAUAUAUAGUAUUGUACCCCAAGAGUACAAAUAAGAUAUAUAGUGGAUUUGAGAUGUAUACUUUUUUUUUUAUUUGUAUUAACCUUAGAUACAUGAUUCAAGCAUACACCAUACGCCGUAAGGUUAUUUAAGACUGAAUUGGAGUUAAAUGUUGAUUUGUAGAUAAUUUUGUUGAAUUUUAAAUUAUGUAUAAGUUUACUGAUCUUGUGAGUUAUGUAUAAGUUAUUGAGGAAGCUGUGAACUAUUAUAGGCAGCUUACCAUCUACUUAUAUAUUGUUGGUAUGGGUAAACUCAUAUGGUUUCUUUGUUUUCUUGUACGGAGUAUAUUAAUGGAAGAAUGAUAUGAAUCAUGAUGAAGAUUUGAAUCACGUUCAGCUCUAUUAAAAAAUUUAGGAAUUGAAGUAUGUGCCUUGAAUUAUUUAGAAUGCAAAUGAGAUGGAAAAAAUUUGAGGAUUGAUCGAACAAUGAUAUAUCUAAUGGAAUUAGUUUUUUUUUUUUUUUUUUUAAUAAUAUUAUGUGCAUUUGAUUAAGUUCAUUGCUCUUCAACUUAUAGUCAUACUGGUUAUUUUUUAAUUUCAUUGUUCUUGUUUUAUUUUUACUAACAUAAUCUUUUUUUUACAGUUUGGACCGAAUGAUUAUCACCAAGCGGAAUGAGGAUAAUUGAAUGCAAGACUCGGUUGUAUUUAAUUUUUUGGAAUGCAAAACUUAGUUGUUUUUUAGACUUAGUUAUUUGGUGAUUAUGUUUGAUCUAUAUGAAUGAUGAAUUGGAUUUUUGUGGAUGUUAUAGGAUUUUGAUAAGUUGAAUUUGUCUUUUCUUUGUUAAAGACAUAUUUUAAGAAAUUAUUGUGUUGAUUUAUAUUCCCUUAUUUUAAUUAUUGUUUAUUUAUUUUAAGCAAUAUUAGUAGAUACAAUGCUUACAAAUCUAUAGCCUUAUAUUGAAUUAUACUGGCUAUUCUCUCCAACAAAAUAAAAAUAAAAAAUGAUGUUACAACAAAAAUAGAUGUAUAAGCGUGGUAUGAGGUACAUGCAGUAGGGCAGGUACAAAUUAAUAGCUACUGUACCAUAAAUGAGUUUUAGAUCCAUGGUCUAAGGUUUAGGCCUCAGUUUUGAAAGUGCAACCUAUCAUGAGACAUUUGCUCCGAUUGCAAAAAUGGUCACUCUUUAUACCUUCUUGGCAGUGGCAUCAAUUAAAAAGUGGGAAGUUCAUCAAAUGGAUGUACACAACGCCUUUCUCCAUGGUGACUGGGAAGAGGAGGUGUAUAUGAAAUUUCUUUCAGGUUUAAAAAACACUAACCCAAAUCUUGUUUGCAGGUUAAAAAAGUCAUUGUACGAUUUAAAACAAGCUCCUCAUUGUUGGUUUGCUAAGUUAGUGACGACAUUGAAGCGAUAUGGAUUUAUUGAAUCCUAUUUAGAUUACUCACUCUUUACUUUGCACAAGGGAUAAAUACAGAUCAACAUGCUAGUUUAUGUGGAUGACUUGAUUAUUGCAAUGAAUUAUAUUGCAGCCCUGAAAAUUUUUAAAGCUUACUUAGGUGUAUGCUUUCAUAUGAAGGAUCUAGGAGUCUUAAAACAAAAAAAUUGGUGCUGGAGGUAGCUCGUAAUCACGAGGGAAUUUAUCUAUGCCUGCGAAAAUAUGUCUUCGAUAUUAUUUAUGAAACAGGUUUAUUAGGCGCCAAGCCUGCGGAUUUUUCAAUGGAACAACACCAUAAGCUAGCAUUGGUUUCUGGUACACCAAUUGAAGAUCCAGAAGCAUAUCGAAGACUUAUUUUGUGGUUGAUUUACUUGUCUGUGACUAGACCAGAUCUUGCGUAUUGUGUACAUAUUUUGUCUUAGUUUAUGCAGCAACCAUGUGAAGAGCAUUGGGAAGCAACCUUAUGGGUUUUAGAUAUUUGAAGAAAUACUCGGGCCCAAGGUAUUGUACUUCAGUUUGAUAGUGAAUUGAAACUAGAGGGAUGGUGUGACUCGGAUUGGGCGAGUUGUCCCCUUACGAUACAUUCUUUGACCUAAUGGGUGGUGUUACUUGGUCUUUCUCCGGUGUCUUGGAAAAGUAAGAAACAUCCAACUUUGUUGUUCUUCUGGAGAGGCCGAGUAUCACUCUAUGGCGAUGACUACAUGUGAAUUAAAUGGCACAAGCAGUUACUUGGUGAUAUGGGAGUUAUUUAUUCCAAAGGGAUGCGAUUAUAUUGUGAUAGUAAAUCAGCGUUUCAUAUAGCACAAAACAAAGCAUAUUGAAGCUCAUUGUCACUUUUCCCGUGAUGGCUGGAAUUAUCUGCCCAAUGUAUGUUCCUACAUCGGUACAAUUAGCGGACGUUUUUACAAAUGCCUUGGGAAAAUCACAAUUUACGUUCCUCAUUCUCAAGUUGGCCAUUGGAGCUCUUCACACUCCAACUUGGGGGGNUAGGAUUAUUGAAAUAUUAUUGAGAUUAUGGGUUGUUAAUGAUUGUUGCAGUUACCUUAUAUUUAGGUGUAGCUUGAUUGUAGGUGUGACUAAUUGCUGGAAUCUCUACGGCUCGUAGAUGUGUAACAUAUGAUAGUAAUGUGUGUGUGUGUGUGUGUGUGUGUGUAUAUAUAUAUAUAUAUAUAUAGUGGUCCUGAUGAAUGCAUAGAGACACACAAUUCAAAGAAUUCUUUUGUGGUGAAACUUAACACAUUGAUAUACUCAAGA
RNAcentral lists this long non-coding RNA (9432 nucleotides) under Medicago truncatula (barrel medic). Its description in RNAcentral is "long non-coding RNA (MTRU_LNC004086)". The stretch from base 4776 to 4945 matches the Rfam family "MIR2619 microRNA precursor family". Lineage: Eukaryota; Viridiplantae; Streptophyta; Magnoliopsida; Fabales; Fabaceae. The record is from RNAcentral.